AAAGUCUUCGUCGCUCAUAUAUUUGCGCGACGAAAUUUCUGUCGUCGCGCCGACUAUAUGCGCGACGAACACAUUCGUCGCGCAAAACUUGUUUGCGAGACGCAUGUAUUCGUCGCGCAAGAAUUAAAAGUAAUUAAAAAGUUGAAUUUUUAUUUUUUGUGUGGGUUUGCGCGACGAAACAUUUGCCGUCGCGCAAAAAUAAUAUUACAUUUUUUUUAUUUUUUUUAUUUUUUAUUUUAAAUAAAAUUGGUUUUU
This 255-nucleotide long non-coding RNA is filed under the name Prunus persica (peach). Its description in RNAcentral is "long non-coding RNA (PPER_LNC002389)". The record is from RNAcentral. Lineage: Eukaryota; Viridiplantae; Streptophyta; Magnoliopsida; Rosales; Rosaceae.